Molecule: ribosomal RNA, 457 nt
Filed under: uncultured organism
Description: partial 16S ribosomal RNA
Rfam family: Bacterial small subunit ribosomal RNA
Source: RNAcentral
ACUCCUGCGGGAGGCAGCAGUGGGGAAUAUUGCACAAUGGGCGCAAGCCUGAUGCAGCGACGCCGCGUGGGGGAUGAAGGCCUUCGGGUUGUAAACUCCUUUCGCUAGGGACGAAGCUUUUUUGUGACGGUACCUAGAUAAGAAGCACCGGCUAACUACGUGCCAGCAGCCGCGGUAAUACGUAGGGUGCGAGCGUUGUCCGGAAUUACUGGGCGUAAAGGGCUCGUAGGUGGUUUGUCGCGUCGUCUGUGAAAUUCUGGGGCUUAACUCCGGGCGUGCAGGCGAUACGGGCAUAACUUGAGUGCUGUAGGGGUAACUGGAAUUCCUGGUGUAGCGGUGAAAUGCGCAGAUAUCAGGAGGAACACCGAUGGCGAAGGCAGGUUACUGGGCAGUUACUGACGCUGAGGAGCGAAAGCAUGGGUAGCGAACAGGAUUAGAUACCCCAGUAGUCCCAUGA